GGGCCGUUAGCUCAGCGGUAGAGCGUCCCCCUUACACGGGGCAGGCCGCAGGUUCGAAUCCUGCACGGCCCA
RNAcentral lists this transfer RNA (72 nucleotides) under Elusimicrobiota bacterium. RNAcentral describes it as "tRNA-Val". It matches the Rfam family "tRNA". Rfam says of the family: Transfer RNA (tRNA) molecules are approximately 80 nucleotides in length. Their secondary structure includes four short double-helical elements and three loops (D, anti-codon, and T loops). The record is from RNAcentral. Lineage: Bacteria; Pseudomonadati; Elusimicrobiota.